AGAGUUUGAUCAUGGCUCAGAUUGAACGCUGGCGGAAUGCUUUACACAUGCAAGUCGAACGAUGAACCUUAGCUUGCUAAGGGGAUUAGUGGCGAACGGGUGAGUAAUAUAUCGGAACGUGCCUUGUAAUGGGGGAUAACUAGUCGAAAGAUUAGCUAAUACCGCAUACGCCCUGAGGGGGAAAGUAGGGGAUCUUCGGACCUUACGUUAUAAGAGCGGCCGAUAUCUGAUUAGCUAGUUGGUGGGGUAAUGGCCUACCAAGGCUUCGAUCAGUAGCUGGUCUGAGAGGACGACCAGCCACACUGGAACUGAGACACGGUCCAGACUCCUACGGGAGGCAGCAGUGGGGAAUUUUGGACAAUGGGCGCAAGCCUGAUCCAGCCAUUCCGCGUGAGUGAAGAAGGCCUUCGGGUUGUAAAGCUCUUUCGCAAGGGAAGAAAACUUACACAAUAACACUGUGUGAGGCUGACGGUACCUUGAUAAGAAGCACCGGCUAACUACGUGCCAGCAGCCGCGGUAAUACGUAGGGUGCGAGCGUUAAUCGGAAUUACUGGGCGUAAAGCGUGCGCAGGCGGUUUGGCAAGUCAGAUGUGAAAUCCCCGAGCUCAACUUGGGAACUGCGUUUGAAACUGCCAGACUAGAAUAUGUCAGAGGGGGGUAGAAUUCCACGUGUAGCAGUGAAAUGCGUAGAGAUGUGGAGGAAUA
RNAcentral lists this ribosomal RNA (705 nucleotides) under uncultured bacterium. RNAcentral's name for it is "bacterial SSU rRNA". It matches the Rfam family "Bacterial small subunit ribosomal RNA", at positions 8 to 708 of the family's 1533-position model. The record is from RNAcentral.